Molecule: ribosomal RNA, 466 nt
Filed under: uncultured bacterium
Lineage: Bacteria
Description: partial 16S ribosomal RNA
Rfam family: Bacterial small subunit ribosomal RNA
Source: RNAcentral
GACGAACGCUGGCGGCGCGCCUAACACAUGCAAGUCGAACGAGCGAGAGAGAGCUUGCUUUCUCUAGCGAGUGGCGAACGGGUGAGUAACGCGUGAGGAACCUGCCUCAAAGAGGGGGACAACAGUUGGAAACGACUGCUAAUACCGCAUAAGCCCCCAGGUCGGCAUCGACCAGAGGGAAAAGGAGCAAUCCGCUUUGGGAUGGCCUCGCGUCCGAUUAGCUAGUUGGUGAGGUAACGGCCCACCCAGGCAACGAUCGGUAGCCGGACUGAGAGGUUGAACGGCGACAUUGGGACGGAGACACGGCCCAGACUACUACGGGAGGCAGCAGUGGGGAAUAUUGCAAAAUGGGGGAAACGAUGAUGCAGCGACGCCGCGUGGAGGAAGAAGGUCUUCGGAUAGUAAACUCCUGUUGUAGAGGAAGAUAAUGACGGUACUCAACAAGGAAGUGACGGCUAACUACGUG